UACGAAGGGGGCUAGCGUUGCUCGGAAUCACUGGGCGUAAAGCGCACGUAGGCGGCUUGCUAAGUCAGGGGUGAAAUCCUGGAGCUCAACUCCAGAACUGCCUUUGAUACUGGCGACCUUGAGUCCGGAAGAGGUGAGUGGAACUCCGAGUGUAGAGGUGAAAUUCGUAGAUAUUCGGAAGAACACCAGUGGCGAAGGCGGCUCACUGGUCCGGUACUGACGCUGAGGUGCGAAAGCGUGGGGAGCAAACAGG
This 253-nucleotide ribosomal RNA is filed under the name uncultured bacterium. RNAcentral's name for it is "partial 16S ribosomal RNA". It matches the Rfam family "Bacterial small subunit ribosomal RNA", at positions 524 to 776 of the family's 1533-position model. The record is from RNAcentral.